RNAcentral lists this ribosomal RNA (468 nucleotides) under uncultured bacterium. RNAcentral describes it as "partial 16S ribosomal RNA". It matches the Rfam family "Bacterial small subunit ribosomal RNA", at positions 28 to 507 of the family's 1533-position model. The record is from RNAcentral.
GACGAACGCUGGCGGCGUGCUUAACACAUGCAAGUCGAACGGAAAGGCCCUGCUUUUGUGGGGUGCUCGAGUGGCGAACGGGUGAGUAACGCGUGAGUAACCUGCCCUUGACUUUGGGAUAACUUCAGGAAACUGGGGCUAAUACCGGAUAGGAGCUCCUGCUGCAUGGUGGGGGUUGGAAAGUUUCGGCGGUUGGGGAUGGACUCGCAGCUUAUCAGCUUGUUGGUGGGGUAGUGGCUUACCAAGGCUUUGACGGGUAGCCGGCCUGAGAGGGUGACCGGCCACAUUGGGACUGAGAUACGGCCCAGACUCCUACGGGAGGCAGCAGUGGGGAAUAUUGCACAAUGGGCGGAAGCCUGAUGCAGCAACGCCGCGUGCGGGAUGACGGCCUUCGGGUUGUAAACCGCUUUCGCCUGUGACGAAGCGUGAGUGACGGUAAUGGGUAAAGAAGCACCGGCUAACUACGUG